This 253-nucleotide ribosomal RNA is filed under the name uncultured prokaryote. RNAcentral describes it as "partial 16S ribosomal RNA". It matches the Rfam family "Bacterial small subunit ribosomal RNA", at positions 524 to 776 of the family's 1533-position model. The record is from RNAcentral.
UACGAAGGGUGCAAGCGUUGUUCGGAAUUACUGGGCGUAAAGCGCGCGUAGGCGGGUUCGUAAGUCGAUUGUGAAAGCCCUGGGCUUAACCCGGGAACUGCAGUCGAAACUACGAAUCUUGAAUGUCUGAGAGGAUGGCGGAAUUCCCGGUGUAGUAGUGAAAUACGUAGAUAUCGGGAAGAACACCUGAGGCGAAGGCGGCUAUCUGGCGGUACAUUGACGCUGAGGCGCGAAAGCGUGGGGAGCAAACAGG